RNAcentral lists this ribosomal RNA (253 nucleotides) under uncultured bacterium. RNAcentral describes it as "partial 16S ribosomal RNA". It matches the Rfam family "Bacterial small subunit ribosomal RNA", at positions 524 to 776 of the family's 1533-position model. The record is from RNAcentral.
UACGAAGGGUGCAAACGUUGCUCGGAAUUAUUGGGCGUAAAGAGCUCGUAGGCGGUUCGUCGCGUCGGCUGUGAAAACCCGGAGCUCAACUCCGGGCCUGCAGUCGAUACGGGCGGACUAGAGUUCGGCAGGGGAGACUGGAAUUCCUGGUGUAGCGGUGAAAUGCGCAGAUAUCAGGAGGAACACCGGUGGCGAAGGCAGGUCUCUGGGCCACUACUGACGCUGAGAAGCGAAAGCAUGGGGAGCGAACAGG